RNAcentral lists this long non-coding RNA (225 nucleotides) under Vigna radiata. RNAcentral's name for it is "long non-coding RNA (VRAD_LNC000408)". Lineage: Eukaryota; Viridiplantae; Streptophyta; Magnoliopsida; Fabales; Fabaceae. The record is from RNAcentral.
GAAAAAAGAAAAUAUGGAAAAAGAAAAAUAUCUUGUUAAAUUGGAUGAGGAACUUAGAAUUCUUAAUGAGAAACAAGAGAAAAUCCAAGAAGAAAUUAGUAAAAGCAAGAGCAAAACCAAGAGUAGGAGUAGGAGUCAUACAAGUUGGAGUUCUAGAACUCCAACUCAACCCACACACUAUGAGGUAGAUAGUAGGCUUGCCUAUCAAUACUAUUAACCUCCCCC